RNAcentral lists this ribosomal RNA (870 nucleotides) under Gyromitra esculenta. Its description in RNAcentral is "partial large subunit ribosomal RNA". It matches the Rfam family "Eukaryotic large subunit ribosomal RNA", at positions 71 to 954 of the family's 3401-position model. The record is from RNAcentral. Lineage: Eukaryota; Fungi; Ascomycota; Pezizomycetes; Pezizales; Discinaceae.
GGGAUUGCCUCAGUAACGGCGAGUGAAGCGGCAACAGCUCAAAUUUUAAAGCUGGCGUCUUUGGCGCCCGCGUUGUAAUUUGGAGAGGCAUCUUCGGUUUGGGCGCCAGCCUAUGUUCCUUGGAACAGGACGUCACAGAGGGUGAGAAUCCCGUGCCUGGCUGGCCGUCCCUUUCCAUGUGAAGUGCCUUCGACGAGUCGAGUUGUUUGGGAAUGCAGCUCAAAAUGGGUGGUAAAUUUCAUCUAAAGCUAAAUAUUGGCGGGAGACCGAUAGCGCACAAGUAGAGUGAUCGAAAGAUGAAAAGCACUUUGAAAAUAGAGUUAAAAAGUACGUGAAAUUGUUGAAAGGGAAGCGCUUGAGACCAGACUCGGCCGGAGAUGAUCAGCCGUCCUUCUGGGCGGUGCACUCGUUUCCGGCCGGGCCAGCAUCGGUUGAGACGGCGGGAUAAAGGCCCGGGGAAUGUGGCUCCUUUCGGGGAGUGUUAUAGCCCCGGGCGCAAUGCCGCCAGCCUCGACCGAGGACCGCGCUUAAUUGCUAGGAUGCUGGCGUAAUGGUCUUCAGCGACCCGUCUUGAAACACGGACCAAGGAGUCUAACAUCUAUGCGAGUGUUUGGGUGUCAAACCCUUGCGCGUAAUGAAAGUGAACGGAGGUGGGAACCCCUCGCGGGGCGCACCAUCGACCGGUCCUGAUGUCUUCGGAUGGAUCUGAGUAGGAGCAUAGCUGUUGGGACCCGAAAGAUGGUGAACUAUGCCUGAAUAGGGUGAAGCCAGAGGAAACUCUGGUGGAGGCUCGCAGCGGUUCUGACGUGCAAAUCGAUCGUCAAAUUUGGGUAUAGGGGCGAAAGACUAAUCGAACCAUCUAGUAGCUGG